AUGAGACUGACGCCGCUGCUGCCCCGAUCGACUACGUUGUUGACGACCCCUUCUUGCCAGAGCAACCAGAUGCCGGAGCCCAGGAGCCAGACGCCACCGUCGACGACGACUCCUACUACAGUGGAGGUGCCUACAACUGCGUGCAGUCCGCUGACGACGACCAGGAGUAGUUUAGGAGGAUCCCAGGCAGGAGGCCUGCGCCUCUUUCGAUCUGUAUCCCAGUUUGUGCUAGCCUUCUUAAGGCAAUCUUGUUUAACUUAUGUCUGUACUCAGAUAUUGUUGCUUCCGCUGACUCGUCUAUGA
Molecule: ribosomal RNA, 303 nt
Filed under: Triticum aestivum (bread wheat)
Lineage: Eukaryota; Viridiplantae; Streptophyta; Magnoliopsida; Poales; Poaceae
Description: partial small subunit ribosomal RNA
Source: RNAcentral